This 253-nucleotide ribosomal RNA is filed under the name uncultured bacterium. Its description in RNAcentral is "partial 16S ribosomal RNA". It matches the Rfam family "Bacterial small subunit ribosomal RNA", at positions 524 to 776 of the family's 1533-position model. The record is from RNAcentral.
UACGGAGGGUGCGAGCGUUGUUCGGAAUCACUGGGCGUAAAGAGCGCGUAGGCGGCCCUGUAAGUCCGCUGUGAAAGUCAAGGGCUCAACCCUUGGAUGCCGGUGGAUACUGUCGACCUCGAGUCCGGAAGAGGCGAGUGGAAUUCCUGGUGUAGCGGUGAAAUGCGCAGAUAUCAGGAGGAACACCAAUGGCGAAGGCAGCUCGCUGGGACGGUACUGACGCUGAGACGCGAAAGCGUGGGGAGCAAACGGG